CAAUAGCGUAUAUUUAAGUUGCUGCAGUUAAAAAGCUCGUAGUUGGAUUUCUACCGAAGAUAGCCGGUCGGGUCUUCGACCUUGUAUCUGGUUUUGUCUUUGGUAUCCUCAUAGGGAACGUUUCUGCGCUUUAUUGCGUGGUGCGGUAUCUAUGACUUUUACUUUGAGGAAAUUAGAGUGUUCACGGCAGGCAAACGCCUUGAAUAUAUUAGCAUGGAAUAAUAACAUAGGAUCUUCGUCCUAUUUUGUUGGUUUCUAGGGCUAAGAUAAUGAUUAAUAGGGAUAAUUGGGGGCAUCUGUAUCAACGCGUCAGAGGUGGAAUUCUUGGAUUGCGUUGCGACAAACUACUGCGAAAGCAUUUGCCAAGGAUGUUUUCAUUGA
RNAcentral lists this ribosomal RNA (381 nucleotides) under uncultured eukaryote. Its description in RNAcentral is "partial 18S ribosomal RNA". It matches the Rfam family "Eukaryotic small subunit ribosomal RNA", at positions 592 to 976 of the family's 1831-position model. The record is from RNAcentral.